Molecule: ribosomal RNA, 308 nt
Filed under: uncultured eukaryote
Lineage: Eukaryota
Description: partial 18S ribosomal RNA
Rfam family: Eukaryotic small subunit ribosomal RNA
Source: RNAcentral
CCCUUAGACGUUCUGGGCCGCACGCGCGCUACACUGACGAAGGCAACGAGCUUUCCUUUACCGAAAGGUACGGGUAAUCUUUUGAAACUUCGUCGUGCUGGGGAUAGAUCCUUGCAAUUAUUGAUCUUAAACGAGGAAUUCCUAGUAAGCGCAAGUCAUCAACUUGCGUUGAUUACGUCCCUGCCCUUUGUACACACCGCCCGUCGCUACUACCGAUUGAAUGGUUUAGUGAGGCCUUCGGAUCCGCAACUCGUUUUGUGGAGAAGUUGGACAAACUCAGUCAUUUAGAGGAAGUAAAAGUCGUANCA